This 886-nucleotide ribosomal RNA is filed under the name Salmonella enterica subsp. diarizonae. Its description in RNAcentral is "partial 23S ribosomal RNA". It matches the Rfam family "Bacterial large subunit ribosomal RNA", at positions 415 to 1297 of the family's 2925-position model. The record is from RNAcentral. Lineage: Bacteria; Pseudomonadati; Pseudomonadota; Gammaproteobacteria; Enterobacterales; Enterobacteriaceae.
GGGCGGGACACGUGGUAUCCUGUCUGAAUAUGGGGGGACCAUCCUCCAAGGCUAAAUACUCCUGACUGACCGAUAGUGAACCAGUACCGUGAGGGAAAGGCGAAAAGAACCCCGGCGAGGGGAGUGAAACAGAACCUGAAACCGUGUACGUACAAGCAGUGGGAGCCUCUCUUUAUGGGGGGUGACUGCGUACCUUUUGUAUAAUGGGUCAGCGACUUAUAUUCUGUAGCAAGGUUAACCGCAUAGGGGAGCCGAAGGGAAACCGAGUCUUAAUUGGGCGUUAAGUUGCAGGGUAUAGACCCGAAACCCGGUGAUCUAGCCAUGGGCAGGUUGAAGGUUGGGUAACACUAACUGGAGGACCGAACCGACUAAUGUUGAAAAAUUAGCGGAUGACCUGUGGCUGGGGGUGAAAGGCCAAUCAAACCGGGAGAUAGCUGGUUCUCCCCGAAAGCUAUUUAGGUAGCGCCUCGUGAACUCAUCUCCGGGGGUAGAGCACUGUUUCGGCUAGGGGGCCAUCCCGGCUUACCAACCCGAUGCAAACUGCGAAUACCGGAGAAUGUUAUCACGGGAGACACACGGCGGGUGCUAACGUCCGUCGUGAAGAGGGAAACAACCCAGACCGCCAGCUAAGGUCCCAAAGUCAUGGUUAAGUGGGAAACGAUGUGGGAAGGCCCAGACAGCCAGGAUGUUGGCUUAGAAGCAGCCAUCAUUUAAAGAAAGCGUAAUAGCUCACUGGUCGAGUCGGCCUGCGCGGAAGAUGUAACGGGGCUAAACCAUGCACCGAAGCUGCGGCAGCGACACUUUAGUGUUGUUGGGUAGGGGAGCGUUCUGUAAGCCGUUGAAGGUGUCCUGUGAGGGGUGCUGGAGGUAUCAGAAGUGCGAAUGC